CAGCCGUAAACUAUGCGCGUUAGGUGUAUCGGUGACCACGAGUUACCGAGGUGCCGAAGGGAAACCGUGAAACGUGCCGCCUGGGAAGUACGGUCGCAAGGCUGAAACUUAAAGGAAUUGGCGGGGGAGCACCACAACAGGUGGAGCCUGCGGUUUAAUUGGACUCAACGCCGGGAAGAUCACCGGAUAGGACAGCAGAAUGAUUGCCGGGCUGAAGACCCUGCAUGACUAGCUGAGAGGAGGUGCAUGGCGUAGACGUCU
Molecule: ribosomal RNA, 261 nt
Filed under: uncultured archaeon
Lineage: Archaea
Description: partial 16S ribosomal RNA
Rfam family: Archaeal small subunit ribosomal RNA
Source: RNAcentral